RNAcentral lists this transfer RNA (73 nucleotides) under Onychostoma lini (Lin's shoveljaw carp). Its description in RNAcentral is "tRNA-Leu". Lineage: Eukaryota; Metazoa; Chordata; Actinopteri; Cypriniformes; Cyprinidae. The record is from RNAcentral.
CGCUUCCAAAGGAUAACAGCUCAUCCGUUGGUCUUAGGAACCAAAACUCCUUGGUGCAAUCCAAGUGGAAGCU